UUGUUUGAAAACAAAGAUGAACAAUUUGAACAUGAACAAUUUGAAACCAUCAUUCUUGAGCUCUGAUGGGAGUUUGUCUGUUCAUGCUGUUACGUUAUCUACGUCCAUUAUUGUUCCUUUAUGAUUAAUUGUUCUUUAUUUGCUUUUUUGGUCACCUCGUAAUUACUAAUAAUUAAUUUGUUGUAAACAAAAUCUAUGAUAUUUCUUUUGAUCUAUAUGAAAACAAUCGGAUAACCUCAUAACCAUAUAUUUACAGAAUAUAAAAAAGCUUUGGUAUUGUUUUCAGAUUUCAUAAAAAAAGUGUGCCUUUAAAGAUAGCAGUCAAUAUUAAUGAAAUUACACAAUAGCAACAAUCUUUGUUUUACUCUAAAAAUAUGAGAACUUUUGUUGUUGGCUAGAAUCCAUUUUUACUAGUCAAGUAAUACGUAAAUGGCUAAAUGCUACUAGUUAGUUGCCAAAAAUUUAGAUACUAAUAGGAAAAAUGCUUUUUGCAAGUUACUAAAUUAUAUAUUUACUUAAGAAAAUACAUUUCUCAAUAUUUUUUAUUUUAUUUUAUUCCACCAUCACACCUGUACUCUUUUGGAAAGAGUGUUCUUCUAUCACUUUCAGUCAUAUUUUUUUUGGGUUAAGUUGCAAACUACUCACUUUCCAAAACUUAAUUAUGAAAUAGGGCAGGUUACUAUUUAUAAUUGGAGAUUUAGCCACUUCCUUAUGACCCCACAAAUCAGAAAAUCAAUUAUACCCCAUGGUAACAACUUUAUUUACCAACAUGCCACUAUUAUGACAUGUAGAAGAGAGGGUAAGAGAGAAAUGUGGGUGAGAUUUUUUAUUUAAUUUUCUUUUUCUUUCUUUACUACAUUUCAUUCUUUCAAAGAUUAAUAAUUAAAAUGUUCAUUUGUAAAUUUUAUUUUUCUAAAAUUGAUCAUAUAAAUAAAAAUCUAUGUUUUUUUAUCUAUCAUUUGAUAUGCAUUUUGUUUAUUGAUUUUUAAUUUUUAUAUUACAGAACACUGUACAUAUAAUAACUAUACAAAUAUAGACCACUGUAACGAUAUAAACUACUGUACAGAUAUAGACCACUGUACAGAAUGAUGCAUUUAUAAAGAAAAAAUAUUAGUUCGUAUAAUAGUAAAUUAUGAUUUCGUUAAACACAUGCAUCAUUCUGUACAAUGCUCUAUAUCUGUACAGUGGUGUAUAUCUGUACAAUAGUCUACGUAUGUACAUUUGUCUAUAUAUAUACAGUAGUAUAUAUCUAAGAAAAUUUCAAAAACGUAUUAGUUUCCGAACAAAUAUCUUUCUGUACAAAUGCAUCAUUUUGUAUUGUGGUUUAUAUCUGUAGAGUAAUUGAUAUCUGUACAGUAGUGUAUAUCUGUACAGUGGUGUAUAUCUAUGUAAAUAUUAUUUGUAUAGUAUUCAAUAGUAUAAAAUUUAAAAAUCAUUAAACAAAAUGCAUAUUAAAUGAUAGAGAAAAAGACAUAGAUUUUUAUUUAUAUGAUCAAUUUUAGAAAAAUAAAAUUUAAAACUAAGCAUUUUAAUUACUAAACUUUGAGGGAAUGAAAUAUAAUAAAGAAAGAAAAUAAAAAUUUAAAAAAAAAACUGACACACAUCACACAUCUCUCAGACGCUUUAUCUAUUCCUCUUUCUUUCUCUCCUCAGCCAAAGAGGUUCCUUGAUAAUUUUCAAAAUUCUUCCACUAUCCCACCUCUACUUCUAUUAGCCACCUUAUACACAUGAGAAACCCGGACUAACCAGUCCUUUGAGAGGAAGCCAUGGCACAAACGUACCAGGAAUGCCAGCGGAUGCGCCUCGCUCAUCACUUUCAGUCAUAUUGAAAAACAAAGACAUUUUUUUGUUCUUUCCUUUAUUGAUACACUAAAUAAAUUUCCCACUUUAAUUAAUAAACUAA
RNAcentral lists this small RNA (1903 nucleotides) under Arabidopsis thaliana (thale cress). RNAcentral's name for it is "ATSL026020". Lineage: Eukaryota; Viridiplantae; Streptophyta; Magnoliopsida; Brassicales; Brassicaceae. The record is from RNAcentral.